RNAcentral lists this transfer RNA (119 nucleotides) under Puccinia graminis f. sp. tritici. It matches the Rfam family "tRNA". From Rfam's summary of the family: Transfer RNA (tRNA) molecules are approximately 80 nucleotides in length. Their secondary structure includes four short double-helical elements and three loops (D, anti-codon, and T loops). The record is from Rfam by way of RNAcentral. Lineage: Eukaryota; Fungi; Basidiomycota; Pucciniomycetes; Pucciniales; Pucciniaceae.
GCCGGCUAGCUCAGUUGGUAGAGCAUUCGACUCUUACAAUCUUGAGUUUCUCCUUGAUACUUCCUUAAUGGAAAUUCAUCGGCAUCGAAUUGUCGUGGGUUCGAGCCCCACGUUGGGCG